Molecule: ribosomal RNA, 468 nt
Filed under: uncultured bacterium
Lineage: Bacteria
Description: partial 16S ribosomal RNA
Rfam family: Bacterial small subunit ribosomal RNA
Source: RNAcentral
GACGAACGCUGGCGGCGUGCUUAACACAUGCAAGUCGAACGGAAAGGCCCUGCUUUUGUGGGGUGCUCGAGUGGCGAACGGGUGAGUAACACGUGAGUAACCUGCCCUUGACUUUGGGAUAACUUCAGGAAACUGGGGCUAAUACCGGAUAGGAGCUCCUGCUGCAUGGUGGGGGUUGGAAAGUUUCGGCGGUUGGGGAUGGACUCGCGGCUUAUCAGCUUGUUGGUGGGGUAGUGGCUUACCAAGGCUUUGACGGGUAGCCGGCCUGAGAGGGUGACCGGCCACAUUGGGACUGAGAUACGGACCAGACUCCUACGGGAGGCAGCAGUGGGGAAUAUUGCACAAUGGGCGGAAGCCUGAUGCGGCAACGCCGCGUGCGGGAUGACGGCCUUCGGGUUGUAAACCGCUUUCGCCUGUGACGAAGCGUGAGUGACGGUAAUGGGUAAAGAAGCACCGGCUAACUACGUG